This 255-nucleotide ribosomal RNA is filed under the name uncultured bacterium. Its description in RNAcentral is "partial 16S ribosomal RNA". It matches the Rfam family "Bacterial small subunit ribosomal RNA", at positions 524 to 776 of the family's 1533-position model. The record is from RNAcentral.
UACGUAGGGGGGCGAGCGUUGUCCGAAGUUACUGGGCGUAAAGCGCGCGUAGGCGGGGGGUUAAGUGAGAGGUGAAAGGCUGGGGCUCAACCUCAUGCAGUGCCUCUCAUACUGGCCUUCUUGAGGGCGGUAGGGAGAAGUGGAAUGGCUGGUGUAGCGGUGAAAUGCGUAGAUAUCAGUCGGAACACCGGUGGCGAAGGCGGCUUCUUGGGCCGUUCCUGACGCUGAUGCGCGAAAGCUGGGGGAGCGAACGGG